This 474-nucleotide long non-coding RNA is filed under the name Aedes aegypti (yellow fever mosquito). Its description in RNAcentral is "lncRNA AAEL026062". Lineage: Eukaryota; Metazoa; Arthropoda; Insecta; Diptera; Culicidae. The record is from RNAcentral.
UUUCUUUUUUUUAUUGGAUUUGACAACUGAAUCUUUGUUGUUGUUAACCAUCAGCAAAAAAAAAGUAGUGCGGCUCAACCCAGGCAACCAGCUUGUUUUAACUAUCUAAAACUUGAUUUUGCUUGAUGUUUGGCGUGCAAAUUGAUGUUCGGUUCCACGGUGGUCCAGCCCAGCCCAACCUCCACUGAGUAGCAUUACCAGCGGCAUUCCAUGAUUACGGACAAUCUCGUACCUCCCGCCCACACCAUUGCCGAUAAUAUCCAGUACGAUCUCGGAGGGUCAUCUUUCAGCGCAUUGGUGCCGGCGUUGAGGAUUAGCCAGUUUGGUCGAAAACUGAUAGAAACGACAGUACCAGAUUCUCAACGCAGAUGCUGCUCAUCUCCCAGGAAGAGCUUCAGCCCAACCGUCCUCUUGAUCGCCAGCUCUGCCUUGUAGAUAAUCAAUAAUAAAGAUAAUAAGAAUAAUCAAUUUACA